AUUUAAAUAAAUAAUAGAUCUCGCCAAAAUCAAAUGCGUUAAACAUAUUAAAAGCGUUUACAACCUAAAUCGAUUGGAUUUAGGGCAUAACACUUACAACAACUUCUUUGGAUAUGAACUUGUGAGAUUUAUAAUUGGAAAGCUCUCCUUACUAAAUAUACAAAACAUCUUGAUGCACAGAGAUACUGAGCAAACGACUGCCAUGGAAGCAAUGUAAGACAGUAAGAGGCUUCUGCUGCAAAAACUUUACUUCAAUGUCUAAGGUAUUAUCUUCAAAGAGAAAUCUCGAAAACUUGUCAAUUUCCUUUAUUCGAAAUAGUUUUAGGGUAUACCUGCUAGUUAUCAAUUGGUAUUGAGUUCUUGGCAGCAUUUCGUAGGAUAAAGAACCCAGAUGAAAAAUGCAUAUUCCAGUUCUCAUAUAACCUCCACUCUUUGUUGUUUGCUAGCAUAUGAGAAAGAGUACCCAUUAUGAGAUUUAAAUUUCUUAGAACCGUUUUCCUUCUAUUCUUCCAAAUCACUUCAUCCAAUCAGGUAUUUCUGUACUUCAAUUUAGUUGGAGGCGACAUGUCUUGAACUUCAACUGAAACUUGAAAUAUGCCAUCUGUUUUCCUAACGUUAUAGUUAAGUUAAUUCAUUAGUAAUUAAGGACUCUUGUUGAUUCUUCAAAAUAUGUGCCAGCAAGCAGAAUCCACAGGACAAUGAAAAUGAAGUAGAGAAGCUGCACAAAAGUUCUGCUCAAAAUUGCAGGAGAAUAAAUUGAACAGGCAAGUCUAUAACAUUAGAUUUGGUAUUGGAAAAAAAUUUCAUACGUUGGCCAAUUUGUUAGUAAAUUUGUAAUCUCCGUAGCCAGACUUCCCAUUAAUAUGUAUGUAAAAAUUUUCAUAUUAGACAUUGGAGCUACCAUACCCCUGAAGCUAGAUGGAAUGCUAAGUUUUACUGAAUACGAGAAGAAGUAUUCGGACGAAGCAGCAGAAUUGAAGUCUAUCAUUACUGGUGAUCUACCUUCUCAUUGGGAGAAAGCUCUUCCAGUGAGUAGUUAUUAGCACUUUUGUUAUUCUUUACUUGUCUUUUGAGCUUUCCUUUGUGCAAUAUUUGAAAUUAGAGAGAUGCUUGAUAUGUGAAGAAUCAAAGAUUUAGAAUGUACAAAUUCUUACUGUUCAUUCUGCUAUUUUUUCUAAUAGGAAAAUGUUCCUCUCAAGUCAAAUAAUUAUAUA
This 1214-nucleotide long non-coding RNA is filed under the name Olea europaea subsp. europaea. Lineage: Eukaryota; Viridiplantae; Streptophyta; Magnoliopsida; Lamiales; Oleaceae. The record is from RNAcentral.